RNAcentral lists this long non-coding RNA (695 nucleotides) under Salmo salar (Atlantic salmon). RNAcentral's name for it is "lncRNA (ENSSSAG00000113587.1)". The record is from RNAcentral. Lineage: Eukaryota; Metazoa; Chordata; Actinopteri; Salmoniformes; Salmonidae.
GAAGAGGAGAGGCAGAUCCUAGACCUGCAGAGGUGAGGAAGAGGGGAGACAGAUCCUAGACCUGCAGAGGUGAGGAAGAGGGGAGACAGAUCCUAGACCUGCAGAGGUGAGGAAGAGGGGAGACAGAUCCUAGACCUGCAGAGGUGAGGAAGAGGAGAGACAGAUCCUAGACCUGCAGAGGUGAGGAAGAGGGGAGACAGAUCCUAGACCUGCAGAGGUGAGGAAGAGGAGAGACAGAUCCUAGACCUGCAGAGGUGAGGAAGAGGGGAGACAGAUCCUAGACCUGCAGAGGUGAGGAAGAGGAGACAGAUCCUAGACCUGCAGAGGUGAGGAAGAGGAGACAGAUCCUAGACCUGCAGAGGUAAAGAGCAGAUCUCUGCAGCCCAGAUCAAGAUCCUAAAGAAACACUCUGAAGCUCUUCAGGUCUCCCCCAUCUCUCCCUCCACCCCUCUCUCCCCCUCUCUCUCUGUAAUCCCCACUCUCUCUCUCUCAACCCUCUCUCUCUCUCUCUCUUCUCCUCUCUCUCUCUCUCUGUAAUCCCGCCUCUCUCUCUCUCUAAUCCUCUCUCUCUCUCUGUAAUCUCUCUCUCUCUCUAAUCCUCUCUCUCUCUCUCUAAUCCACUCUCUCUCUCUCUCUGUAAUCUCCUCUCUCUCUCCCUCUCUCUGUGUAAUCUCCUCUCUCUCUCUCUAAUCUCC